AGUCGAACGCACAGCGAAAGGUGCUUGCACCUUUCAAGUGAGUGGCGAACGGGUGAGUAACACGUGGAUAACCUACCUCAAGGUUGGGGAUAACAUUUGGAAACAGAUGCUAAUACCGAAUAAAACUUAGUAUCGCAUGAUACCAGGUUAAAAGGCGCUACGGCGUCACCUAGAGAUGGAUCCGCGGUGCAUUAGUUAGUUGGUGGGGUAAAGGCCUACCAAGACAAUGAUGCAUAGCCGAGUUGAGAGACUGAUCGGCCACAUUGGGACUGAGACACGGCCCAAACUCCUACGGGAGGCUGCAGUAGGGAAUCUUCCACAAUGGGCGAAAGCCUGAUGGAGCAACGCCGCGUGUGUGAUGAAGGCUUUCGGGUCGUAAAGCACUGUUGUAUGGGAAGAACAGCUAGAGUAGGGAAUGACUUUAGUUUGACGGUACCAUACCAGAAAGGGACGGCUAAAUACGUGCCAGCAGCCGCGGUAAUACGUAUGUCCCGAGCGUUAUCCGGAUUUAUUGGGCGUAAAGCGAGCGCAGACGGUUAAUUAAGUCUGAUGUGAAAGCCCGGAGCUCAACUCCGGAAAGGCAUUGGAAACUGGUUAACUUGAGUGCAGUAGAGGUAAGUGGAACUCCAUGUGUAGCGGUGGAAUGCGUAGAUAUAUGGAAGAACACCAGCGGCGAAGGCGGCUUACUGGACUGUAACUGACGUUGAGGCUCGAAAGUGUGGGUAGCAAACAGGAUUAGAUACCCUGGUAGUCCACACCGUAAACGAUGAACACUAGGUGUUAGGAGGUUUCCGCCUCUUAGUGCCGAAGCUAACGCAUUAAGUGUUCCGCCUGGGGAGUA
This 841-nucleotide ribosomal RNA is filed under the name uncultured bacterium. Its description in RNAcentral is "bacterial SSU rRNA". It matches the Rfam family "Bacterial small subunit ribosomal RNA", at positions 60 to 882 of the family's 1533-position model. The record is from RNAcentral.